CAGUCGCCGCGGUAAUACGGAGGGAGCUAGCGUUGUUCGGAAUUACUGGGCGUAAAGCGCACGUAGGCGGCGAUUUAAGUCAGAGGUGAAAGCCCGGGGCUCAACCCCGGAACUGCCUUUGAGACUGGAUUGCUAGAAUCUUGGAGAGGCGGGUGGAAUUCCGAGUGUAGAGGUGAAAUUCGUAGAUAUUCGGAAGAACACCAGUGGCGAAGGCGGCCCGCUGGACAAGUAUUGACGCUGAGGUGCGAAAGCGUGGGGAGCAAACAGGAUUAGAUACCCCAGUAGUCCCUGUCUCUUAUAC
This 301-nucleotide ribosomal RNA is filed under the name uncultured bacterium. Its description in RNAcentral is "partial 16S ribosomal RNA". It matches the Rfam family "Bacterial small subunit ribosomal RNA", at positions 509 to 807 of the family's 1533-position model. The record is from RNAcentral.